This 314-nucleotide unclassified non-coding RNA is filed under the name Hypholoma fasciculare. RNAcentral describes it as "partial internal transcribed spacer region". The stretch from base 1 to 46 matches the Rfam family "Eukaryotic small subunit ribosomal RNA", at positions 1786 to 1831 of the family's 1831-position model. The record is from RNAcentral. Lineage: Eukaryota; Fungi; Basidiomycota; Agaricomycetes; Agaricales; Strophariaceae.
AAGUCGUAACAAGGUUUCCGUAGGUGAACCUGCGGAAGGAUCAUUAUUGAAUAAAUCUGGCUUGGUUGAUGCUGGUCUUUUCGAAGAUAUGUGCACACCUUGUCAUCUUUAUAUCUCCACCUGUGCACCUCUUGUAGACCUGGAUUCAACUUUCCGAGGAAACUCGGUUGUGAGGAAUUGCUUAAUAGGCUUUCCUUGUUUGUUUCCAGGGCUAUGUUUUCAUAUACACCUUAUGAAUGUAACAGAAUGUCAUUAUUAGGCUUAAUUGUCUUAUAAACUAUAUACAACUUUCAGCAACGGAUCUCUUGGCUCUC